Molecule: small nucleolar RNA, 139 nt
Organism: Cyprinus carpio (common carp)
Lineage: Eukaryota; Metazoa; Chordata; Actinopteri; Cypriniformes; Cyprinidae
Product: small nucleolar RNA SNORA17
Exons: 1
Source: RefSeq, a predicted model, not a curated record
UUUGCCCCUUGAGGCGGCUGCAUUGUGACUGAUCCUGUCUCUUCUGUGUCAUAAGGUUGCAUAGAGAGUGAGAACGGACUAAGUCUACACUAGUACCCUUUAAUAAUGGGUGCUCAGUGUCAUUUUAUAGUCCUACUGU